Molecule: long non-coding RNA, 241 nt
Filed under: Capsicum annuum
Lineage: Eukaryota; Viridiplantae; Streptophyta; Magnoliopsida; Solanales; Solanaceae
Description: long non-coding RNA (CANN_LNC006886)
Source: RNAcentral
UACCGUUUGGGAUAUUUUCUAAUUGCUGGUGACAUACCUAUAGUGUGUAUAUAAAUCCUAUUUUCUACUUUGCUCAGUCGGCCAAAGAUACCUAAUGAGUACAAUUGUGUCGUACUUAUCCCAAUUAUGCCCAUUUUGUGUAUAUCCAGGUACUAGUGUGUCUCAUGAUAGUUGAGUUUGGGUGGUAAUUGAACACUUUUGAGGUAGUGGCUGCUCUAUGAUUCUAUAUUUGACCCCCCAC